AUUGAACGCUGGCGGCAGGCCUAACACAUGCAAGUCGAACGGUAACAGGAAGCAGCUUGCUGCUUUUCUGACGAGUGGCGGACGGGUGAGUAAUGUCUGGGAAACUGCCCGAUGGAGGGGGAUAACUACUGGAAACGGUAGCUAAUACCGCAUAACGUCGCAAGAACAAAGAGGGGGACCUUAGGGCCUCUUGCCAUCGGGUGUGCCCAGAUGGGAUUAGCUAGUAGGUGGGGUAACGGCUCACCUAGGCGACGAUCCCUAGCUGGUCUGAGAGGAUGACCAGCGACACUGGAACUGAGACACGGUCCAGACUCCUACGGGAGGCAGCAGUGGGGAAUAUUGCACAAUGGGCGCAAGCCUGAUGCAGCCAUGCCGCGUGUAUGAAGAAGGCCUUCGGGUUGUAAAGUACUUUCAGCGGGGAGGAAGGGAGUAAAGUUAAGACCUUUGCUCAUUGACGUUACCCGCAGAAGAAGCACCGGCUAACUCCGUG
Molecule: ribosomal RNA, 490 nt
Filed under: uncultured bacterium
Lineage: Bacteria
Description: partial 16S ribosomal RNA
Rfam family: Bacterial small subunit ribosomal RNA
Source: RNAcentral